Molecule: ribosomal RNA, 497 nt
Filed under: uncultured bacterium
Lineage: Bacteria
Description: partial 16S ribosomal RNA
Rfam family: Bacterial small subunit ribosomal RNA
Source: RNAcentral
GAUGAACGCUGGCGGCGUGCCUAAUACAUGCAAGUCGAGCGAACAGACGAGGAGCUUGCUCCUCUGACGUUAGCGGCGGACGGGUGAGUAACACGUGGAUAACCUACCUAUAAGACUGGGAUAACUUCGGGAAACCGGAGCUAAUACCGGAUAAUAUAUUGAACCGCAUGGUUCAAUAGUGAAAGACGGUUUUGCUGUCACUUAUAGAUGGAUCCGCGCCGCAUUAGCUAGUUGGUAAGGUAACGGCUUACCAAGGCAACGAUGCGUAGCCGACCUGAGAGGGUGAACGGCCCAAACGGAAACGGAAAAAGGGCCAAGAUCCUAAGGGAGGCAACAGGAGGGAAACUUUCGGAAAGGGCGGAAGCCUGAAGGAGCAAAGGCGGGGGGGGGAUGAAGGGCUUCGGAACGGAAAAAUCUGUUAAUAAGGAAAAAAAAAAGGGGAAAGAAAUAAGCAAGGCUUGAAGGGAACUAAUCAGAAAGCCACGGCUAACUACGUG